Molecule: long non-coding RNA, 5576 nt
Filed under: Sus scrofa (pig)
Lineage: Eukaryota; Metazoa; Chordata; Mammalia; Artiodactyla; Suidae
Description: lncRNA (ENSSSCG00015079908.1)
Source: RNAcentral
UUUAAAUUAUUUUCACUCUUCUCUUUAUUGCCACCUCCUCCUCCUGGAGAUCACAGCUAAUGUCACCUUUACCAUCUCCUCCACUGGGUAGAGCCUGGACAUCUGGCACCUGGGCACUGGUCCUGCCUGGGCACUGCCACUUCCAUUCUCAUGACAGGAGCAAAGUGCCUGCCCUGUGGAGUGCCUUGACACUUUACCCCAAUAGCACGCUUAACACAAAGGAUCUCAGAGUGUCUUGGGGAAGAUGUGAUCUGUGCCAAGCUCAGUCCUUUUCCUGGACCCUCUGCAGAGAAGCCAGGGCAUUCUCCAGCCUGUGCUAGAAAUGCGACAAGCUCAGGAAUUAAGGUGCAGGAGUUCCCGCCAUGGCUCAGUGGUUAACAAACUCAAUUAGUAUCCAUGAGGACAUGGGUUCAAUCCCUGGCCUUGCUCAGCGGGUUGGGGAUCGGGCACUGCUGUGAACUGUGCUGUAGGUUGCAGGUGCGGCUUGGAUCCAGCAUUGAAAUGACUGUGGUGUAGGCCGGCAGCUACAGGUCCGAUUAGACCCCUAGCCUGGGAGCCCUCCAUACGCUCUAGGUGUGGCCCUAAAAAGACAAAAAGACAAAAAAAUAAAAGAAAUUAAGGUGCACAUUUCAUCGGCAGGCACUUCAUCAAGCACGGUCCUGUUCCCUUUGCUGAUCAUUUCAUGCCUGUGCUUCCUGCCUUCCCAGCCAUCCUGAGACCAUCUUGAGGGUAUGGACUGCAGCUUCUAGUUCUCUGCUAAGCCCAUGGUUCUGAGCAUCACAGUGAGGGCUGGAUUCAUAUCAGCUGGUUGUCUCAGCAUCAUCUCCACCAACCUGAGGCACAGGUGCUUCUCCAGGGCAUUUUCCAAGGGGGAAAGUCCAGGAUAAAGUCCCUGACCCCAAGUCUUUAUCUUACACCUGAAAAUACCCUUUCCCCCAACAAGGACACACUCACAGGCCUCCAGCAUUAGGGCCUGACAUCUUUGGGGGAUGCUUCGCCUACUGCACCACCGCCCACCACCUCUUCUGACCUCAAACGAGUGUCCAAGGGUCCCAGAUCAGCCUCUCUGAGUCGUGCUUAUCCCUCUGAGGUACAGGAAUGACUUUUAUGGAUCCGUUGGCUUCUUCACAGAGUGGUGGUGAGGACUGAGAGGUAAUAUAUAUAUUGAAAGCAUUUUCUAAGCUGUAAAGCCCCACACAAAUGCAAGACAACAUUAUUGCACUGGGAGCGUGGCAAGUUCAACACUUGAGAAAACUAUCAGAUUUUAAAACAUGUGAGGGAAUAGGAAACCAAUGUUAUUCCAAAACCUCAUUUACACCCCACACCAAAGCCUCCCACUCUCCCUGCCUCCGCUCUCCCCUGUGGCUAUAGGGGUGUGACAGAGGCCUGUCUUGGGGGUGGCUUUGUGGCCUGAAAACAAAUCAUUCUUCACAGCUGGCUCCCCGAGUCCAAUAAGCCAGAAGGAAUUGGUAGAGAGAUUUAACGAUAUGUAUUUCAGAAAAAGAUGAAAAUGUGUCUACUUUUAGGAGAUGCAGUAAAAAUGCAUCAGCCCCACAAUAAACUUGGCAGUGAAGAUGCAUACAUAGAAGGCACACAUAUAAUGCAUCUAGGGCAGUAAUGUCUCAUUUCUAGGGAAAUCCUCUAAGAGAUCAAUUAGAAUUUGCCCCCGCCCAUGCCCUAUACACAGCCUCUGAACACGGUCCCACCCCUCCAGCUACCUCCAGCCUCUGCAGGGGGCCUGUUGGCUCAAAGCAGCUUGUUCCCCGGUCUCCCUUGGAAGUCUCUAGAAGAGAUGUGGGCUGAAACGGUUUGCAAACCAAUUACACGAGAAGUGGGAAACUGUGGCCCCCAGAUCAAACCUGGCUCAUAAAUUACAGCUUUAUUGGAUCACAGCCAUGCUGAUUCCUUCUAUGAUGGCUUUGUUGCUCUAAUAGAAGAGUUUAAUAAUUCUGAUUGAAAUCACAUGGCCUGAAAGUCUAAUAUAUAUAUUAUUGGGCCUUUACAGAAAAAGUUUGUUGACAUCCGAAUAACGCCAUUACGUGAGAGGCUGUCUUUAGGCAAAACUGCCUGUAAAACCAAGAACAGGAUGACAGCUAAUUUUUUUGAGCCCUGUUCUGUGCCACGCAUGGCAUUGUGCCCAUAGGAACAGAAUGUCCCCUUAUUUAUUCUUGCAAGCAGUCCCAUGAGGUAGUAAUGCUAGCAGUAUGGCUAGAGGAGAAAACAGGCUCAGGGAAGCUAAGCAACUUUCUCAAGGUCUCAACCUGGAAAACCGGUAGAACUGGCGUUCACACUCAUGUGCGGCUGAUUCCACCACCCUUGCUCUGGCCGCCACUCUCAAGCAUCUGGUUUCCAGAUGGGCAAUUCAGAGACCCUCUUCCAGUCUCCAGCACCUUGCACUUGUUGAGGAUCUGAUUUUCUGUAUCUAAUGUACCUGCAUCGAAUCUCCCAUCAUUCACCUGCCUGCCGUGGCCGCUCUGCUAAGGAGUGGAGAAAGGGAGCCUUCCAAGCCGUCUUCCUCCCCCUUUCCCACCCUGUGCUCCCCAUCCCUGUGCUCAGUGGAUUUUGUCCCACAUUUCUGCAGGACCCGUGUUGCCGCAGUCUCCCCCGACUGUCCCACUCCUGGGCGAGAUUCUGACUGUUCUGGAGCCUCCAGUCUGCACAGAGGGGGGUGCCAACAGAGCCCUGGGAACAGAGGCAUUUGCAUUCCACUUCCCGGGGCUGUUCUGAUCUUACCUGCAAUUCUUCUGACAAAUUCUUAUCAGCGAUGCCCAUGGCGAAGUCUGUGGUGACUUUGUUCAUUCUUAUUAGCUCUGCAGAUUAGCUCUUCACAGCGCUUGGCUGGUUCAUACCGAUUCCUGAUAAAUGUUUUGACUGAUUUUCCUGACUUGGGAGCAGUUGGGGACUGGGGCUGGGGUGGAGGCAGAAGACCGUGAGGAGAGGGGUGCUGGCGAGGGGAAGGAGAGAAAAUUGUGGCCAGGAUUACAUCUGGGCUAUAAAAUAUUCAUCACAUGCCUGCAAGAGCAGGGUCAGCACCGCUUCCCCAAGAACUGCUCCCUCCACCAGGCAGCACUUUGAAAUGCACCAGCCCGGGCAGGCUGGGAGCAGCCAGGAGAGGCUUCUGAGAGAAGGGGCCAGUGGAAGUUAAAAGGAAGGAAGAACAAACCAGCUCACUUGGGCUUUCCUGUCCUUCUCGGUCCCUCCCUUCUCACCUGCUCUUCAAGAACAGCUUUUGAUGGCAGAAUACUGAUGUUCCGGGUGGGCUUAGCUGCUCCUGUGCUGGGUUCCUCUUCUCCCUUUUGCUGCCCCAAGAAACCUUCCUGAGAAUUUCAGCCCACCCUUCCUCUCCUUUCCAAGAGGUCCUCCAGCUUCCCUCUUUGAGGACUUCAGACAGUGCUAAUAACAGCGUUCCUCACCGUCUCCUGUAUUUCCCCACCUAGACUGGACUUAGAGUCAUGCCCCUCCCAAGACUAGACACGAGGUACCCAUUUGUAACGUCAUGGCUGAAUUAAAAGAGCUCCUUCCCUUUGGCAGAGUUGGCCAGCAGGUACCACCACACCACCAGUGCUGAAGCAAGGCAGGCAUUGCCGAUCGACUUCCACACGCUUUCUUCUCAAACCAAGAUGAAGUUUUCCCCUUGUUCUUAACAAGAGGUUCCAAGCAGCCACUCCUAAUCCAAUGGAAUCAAGAAGGAAAUAAAAACCUCUUUGCUAUCCUGGUUCUUUGGUACCCCCUGUAACUUCCUUGCAAUCAGGCACUACCUUUAGAUUCUAGGAACCUGGUACUGUGGCCCCAUAUAAAAUAGGAGUUCCUGUCGUGGUGCAGUGGUUCACGAAUCUGACUAGGAGCCAUGAGGUUGCGGGUUCGGUCCCUGCCCUUGCUCAGUGGGUUAACGAUCCGGCGUUGCCAUGAGCUGCGGUGUAGGUUGCAGACGCGGCUCGGAUCCCGCGUUGCUGUGGCUCUGGCGUAGGCCAGUGGCUACAGCUCCGAUUCAACCCCUAGCCUGGGAACCUCCUUAUGCCCAGGGAAGCGGCCCAAAGAAAUAGCAAAAAGACAAAAUAAAUAAAUAAAAAUAAAUAAAUAAAUAAAUAAAUAAACCCUGCACCCACAAAAGAAAGCUAUCCAUCACUUUCCGCAGGUAUCCGGUCAAGGCUUACCCUCUAAAAAAUUCUUUCAUGUGUCUAACCCAAGACCCUACUGCAGUAGAAUUAUAUUCCUGGGCUUUUCUCCCAUGGGAGAAAAAAGUCAGAUGCUUUGAGAAGUGAUGUUCUCACUCACUGCUCUUUCCCACUGCCCGGAAGUUUAAACUCUGGUGCCCAAGCACCUCACUCUGGAAAAACUCGACUCAUGCCAGCCCCAUGCCUGCUCGUGCCAGCUCCCUGGAAAAUGACCCACACCCCCGAAACUAGAAAGAGGCCUGGAGACUCUUGAAGGUCCUCUCUUGCCGCAGCCAAGUUUACUCAUUAGCCUUUCACCAGAUUUAUCUUCUCCCUGGUAGCCUGCAGCGCUUUGAUUUGUCCUGCUGUCACCAGGACUAAUGUUGAUGGCGGCACCCCCCCGGGGGCGUCAGGCUCUCCAGCCUCCUGCCAGAGCCCUCGAGGAAAAUGGAUGAGCAACUGACCCGCAAAAUAAAUACCAGACUUCCAGGUUCUGAUAAAGAUUAAAUAUUGGAGGAGUCAUUUCAAAUGAAUAUAUAAAAGCACAUGGAAGAAGCCUUUUAGACUCCGGCAGAGUGACAUACAGGCAAACAAAGAGAGAUGUCUUUGGGGAAGUUCAGUGGCAGGGAAGUUGGAGGCUCCGAAUGCAAUCUGCCCACAAAUACCCCAGCUGCAGAAAGGAUUCCAAAACAGUCAUCCCUCCCUUUCCCUCCACCCUCCCCACCCAGAUCGUGAAGAAGAGAAAGUGCUAAGCUCCAAAAGCCGCGUGCCAGCAUGAUGCUGAAGUCAGCUCUGGCCCAUCCAACCAAGGGAGAAGCCCCAUUACUCAACACCAUCUGCCUUGGGCGUGGAGCAGCCAAGAGCUAGGAUUACGGGCGGGGAUGGGGCUCUGAGGCCCCAAAGGAGAGAGUUACUGGGGAAGAGCAAGGUCAGGCAUCUCUGAGACAGAACGGGGAGGCGGGAGAGAAGCCAGAUGUCAGCAGAUGGAGCCAGUGUUCCUUGAGCCUGGGGCAGAAUGUGGUUUCUGGUCCGAAACAUGUGCAGAUUGAUUGCACAUCCAGAAACGCCCAAUAACCAGAAUCCCAGGAUCCUGUCUCUAGAAUCAAAUGUUGGAGUUCUCUGGAUCAAAGUUCAAGUGCAGUUAGCAUGGAGAUGGAAGGGGAGAGAGGCAGCCUUGAUUUACCUGGUGCCUGCAGUGCUGGGCCACUUACUCCUCCUGACCGUCCUGGGAGAUGGGCACCGGCAUCCAUUCCUUACAGAAAGGAGGCUGAGGCUGCAGCGAACGGAUGGCCACGAGGCUGGCGUUCGUCCCGCUGCCACAUGCUCAGUUCUCCAUCUCAGUCUGGAAGGCAGAGUCUUGGUGGUGGUCCAGGGACAGCUGUCCAAAUUCCUCAGAACCGGGCUCAGUAUCCAGGUCCCUCC